GGGUUGUGAGGUUAAGCGACUAAGCGUACACGGUGGAUGCCCUGGCAGUCAGAGGCGAUGAAGGACGUGCUAAUCUGCGAUAAGCGUCGGUAAGGUGAUAUGAACCGUUAUAACCGGCGAUUUCCGAAUGGGGAAACCCAGUGUGAUUCGUCACACUAUCAUUAACUGAAUCCAUAGGUUAAUGAGGCGAACCGGGGGAACUGAAACAUCUAAGUACCCCGAGGAAAAGAAAUCAACCGAGAUUCCCCCAGUAGCGGCGAGCGAACGGGGAGCAGCCCAGAGCCUGAAUCAGUGUGUGUGUUAGUGGAAGCGUCUGGAAAGGCGCGCGAUACAGGGUGACAGCCCCGUACACAAAAAUGCACAUGCUGUGAGCUCGAUGAGUAGGGCGGGACACGUGGUAUCCUGUCUGAAUAUGGGGGGACCAUCCUCCAAGGCUAAAUACUCCUGACUGACCGAUAGUGAACCAGUACCGUGAGGGAAAGGCGAAAAGAACCCCGGCGAGGGGAGUGAAAAAGAACCUGAAACCGUGUACGUACAAGCAGUGGGAGCACGCUUAGGCGUGUGACUGCGUACCUUUUGUAUAAUGGGUCAGCGACUUAUAUUCUGUAGCAAGGUUAACCGAAUAGGGGAGCCGAAGGGAAACCGAGUCUUAACUGGGCGUUAAGUUGCAGGGUAUAGACCCGAAACCCGGUGAUCUAGCCAUGGGCAGGUUGAAGGUUGGGUAACACUAACUGGAGGACCGAACCGACUAAUGUUGAAAAAUUAGCGGAUGACUUGUGGCUGGGGGUGAAAGGCCAAUCAAACCGGGAGAUAGCUGGUUCUCCCCGAAAGCUAUUUAGGUAGCGCCUCGUGAAUUCAUCUCCGGGGGUAGAGCACUGUUUCGGCAAGGGGGUCAUCCCGACUUACCAACCCGAUGCAAACUGCGAAUACCGGAGAAUGUUAUCACGGGAGACACACGGCGGGUGCUAACGUCCGUCGUGAAGAGGGAAACAACCCAGACCGCCAGCUAAGGUCCCAAAGUCAUGGUUAAGUGGGAAACGAUGUGGGAAGGCCCAGACAGCCAGGAUGUUGGCUUAGAAGCAGCCAUCAUUUAAAGAAAGCGUAAUAGCUCACUGGUCGAGUCGGCCUGCGCGGAAGAUGUAACGGGGCUAAACCAUGCACCGAAGCUGCGGCAGCGACGCUGAUGCGUUGUUGGGUAGGGGAGCGUUCUGUAAGCCUGUGAAGGUGUGCUGUGAGGCAUGCUGGAGGUAUCAGAAGUGCGAAUGCUGACAUAAGUAACGAUAAAGCGGGUGAAAAGCCCGCUCGCCGGAAGACCAAGGGUUCCUGUCCAACGUUAAUCGGGGCAGGGUGAGUCGACCCCUAAGGCGAGGCCGAAAGGCGUAGUCGAUGGGAAACAGGUUAAUAUUCCUGUACUUGGUGUUACUGCGAAGGGGGGACGGAGAAGGCUAUGUUGGCCGGGCGACGGUUGUCCCGGUUUAAGCGUGUAGGCUGGUUUUCCAGGCAAAUCCGGAAAAUCAAGGCUGAGGCGUGAUGACGAGGCACUACGGUGCUGAAGCAACAAAUGCCCUGCUUCCAGGAAAAGCCUCUAAGCAUCAGGUAACAUCAAAUCGUACCCCAAACCGACACAGGUGGUCAGGUAGAGAAUACCAAGGCGCUUGAGAGAACUCGGGUGAAGGAACUAGGCAAAAUGGUGCCGUAACUUCGGGAGAAGGCACGCUGAUAUGUAGGUGAAGCGACUUGCUCGUGGAGCUGAAAUCAGUCGAAGAUACCAGCUGGCUGCAACUGUUUAUUAAAAACACAGCACUGUGCAAACACGAAAGUGGACGUAUACGGUGUGACGCCUGCCCGGUGCCGGAAGGUUAAUUGAUGGGGUCAGCGCAAGCGAAGCUCUUGAUCGAAGCCCCGGUAAACGGCGGCCGUAACUAUAACGGUCCUAAGGUAGCGAAAUUCCUUGUCGGGUAAGUUCCGACCUGCACGAAUGGCGUAAUGAUGGCCAGGCUGUCUCCACCCGAGACUCAGUGAAAUUGAACUCGCUGUGAAGAUGCAGUGUACCCGCGGCAAGACGGAAAGACCCCGUGAACCUUUACUAUAGCUUGACACUGAACAUUGAGCCUUGAUGUGUAGGAUAGGUGGGAGGCUUUGAAGUGUGGACGCCAGUCUGCAUGGAGCCGGCCUUGAAAUACCACCCUUUAAUGUUUGAUGUUCUAACGUUGACCCGUGAUCCGGGUUGCGGACAGUGUCUGGUGGGUAGUUUGACUGGGGCGGUCUCCUCCUAAAGAGUAACGGAGGAGCACGAAGGUUGGCUAAUCCUGGUCGGACAUCAGGAGGUUAGUGCAAUGGCAUAAGCCAGCUUGACUGCGAGCGUGACGGCGCGAGCAGGUGCGAAAGCAGGUCAUAGUGAUCCGGUGGUUCUGAAUGGAAGGGCCAUCGCUCAACGGAUAAAAGGUACUCCGGGGAUAACAGGCUGAUACCGCCCAAGAGUUCAUAUCGACGGCGGUGUUUGGCACCUCGAUGUCGGCUCAUCACAUCCUGGGGCUGAAGUAGGUCCCAAGGGUAUGGCUGUUCGCCAUUUAAAGUGGUACGCGAGCUGGGUUUAGAACGUCGUGAGACAGUUCGGUCCCUAUCUGCCGUGGGCGCUGGAGAACUGAGGGGGGCUGCUCCUAGUACGAGAGGACCGGAGUGGACGCAUCACUGGUGUUCGGGUUGUCAUGCCAAUGGCACUGCCCGGUAGCUAAAUGCGGAAGAGAUAAGUGCUGAAAGCAUCUAAGCACGAAACUUGCCCCGAGAUGAGUUCUCCCUGACUCCUUGAGAGUCCUGAAGGAACGUUGAAGACGACGACGUUGAUAGGCCGGGUGUGUAAGCGCAGCGAUGCGUUGAGCUAACCGGUACUAAUGAACCGUGAGGCUUAACCUUACAACGCCGAAG
Molecule: ribosomal RNA, 2925 nt
Filed under: Escherichia coli
Lineage: Bacteria; Pseudomonadati; Pseudomonadota; Gammaproteobacteria; Enterobacterales; Enterobacteriaceae
Description: bacterial LSU rRNA
Rfam family: Bacterial large subunit ribosomal RNA
Source: RNAcentral